GAUGAAGAACGAAGCGAAAUGCGAUAAGUAGUGUGAAUUGCAGAAUUCAGUGAAUCAUCGAAUCUUUGAACGCACAUUGCGCCCCUUGGUAUCCCGAGGGGCAUGCCUGUUCGAGCGUCAUUUCACCACUCAAGCCUGGCUUGGUGUUGGGCGACGUCCUCUUUGGGGACGCGCCUCGAAACGCUCGGCGGCGUGGCACCGGCUUUAAGCGUAGCAGAAUCUUUCGCUUUGGAAGUCGGGGCCCCGUCUGCCGGAAGACCUGCUCGCAAGGUUGACCUCGGAUCAGGCAGGGAUACCCGCUGAACUUAAGCAUAUCAAUAAGCGGAGGA
RNAcentral lists this unclassified non-coding RNA (329 nucleotides) under soil metagenome. RNAcentral describes it as "partial contains 5.8S ribosomal RNA, internal transcribed spacer 2, and large subunit ribosomal RNA". The stretch from base 1 to 120 matches the Rfam family "5.8S ribosomal RNA", at positions 35 to 154 of the family's 154-position model. The record is from RNAcentral.